Long non-coding RNA from Bos mutus (wild yak), 1602 nucleotides. Lineage: Eukaryota; Metazoa; Chordata; Mammalia; Artiodactyla; Bovidae. The record is from Ensembl.
UUUUGUUGUUGUAUUCGGUGUCUCUGGAAGGGUAUUUUAAGGGCGUAUCUUCAUUCGAUAUAUGGUCAGUCUUGAUGUCCACAUCACAGAAGUGGUUCUUCACAAGGUCACAGUUUAAAAGGCUUGAGACCUUUUCCAGAGGUUAGAGAAUUUAUCUGAUGUUUCUCCUAGGUUAUCCACAUUUUUAAUGAAAAUUUUGGGCAUUUUAAGAGAGUAAGACANNNNNNNNNNNNNNNNNNNCAAUGAAAUGUAGGGAGAGCCCACCCACUUCCCUUAAAAGCCGUGGAUAAUAGUUUAAUUUCCUUGGCAUGGUGAGCCUUAGUGAAGUCCAUCAGAGCUUGAAGUGUAGGCUGUGGUCCUGCCAAUUUAUGAACCUUUAUUAAUUUAUUUUUUAGGCAUGACCUCCAAAUGGCCCAGCUCCUCCUGGCACCAAAACUGAAGAAAGUGGUGACAUGAACUGUCCCCUCUGUACUUUGCUUUGGCAACUGAGAAGCUCAAAGCUUAAUUUUCAGCUUUCAGCUCAUAUAUAUGAGCAUAAACUUAAAUCAUCUCAAAAGGACAAGGUCCGCCAGUUCAUGGCAUUUACUCAGGCUGGCAAGAGAAGUGCCACCCACUGCUUAGAGCAGAGCAAGUAGACACCAGACCUGGCCACAGACAGCUGCUCCCAGCACCCAAGCUUGUUCACAGGGAAUCCACGAGAACCUCCGUGGACAGGAAGAAGCUGGAGCGGCUGUAUAACAGGUACCAAGGUAAGGGCACCAAGGCGCCGCACGUCCAGGGCGCAGGGGUGGUGCUGGGAGUUUCCCGUGCCGUGUCCCAAGGCCUCUGACCAUGUGCCGUGUUAGGAGCACAGUCCCCUCCCUUGCUGAUGGUCAGCUAUACGGUUUAGUUAGUUUAAUCGGAACGUGGCUCCUGAUGGCUCAAGGCUGGGGUGGGACAAGGCGCACAGAGUCUAAAGGCUGAUGGGCAGCGAGCCCUCCUAUACGCGGCCUGGGUCAGCUGUGGGGAGUCACUGGUGGGAGGCUUGGUGUCCAGGCCAGGGGGCUACGCCCGCUACGAGAGUACUUUUCCCCAGCACUUCCACUGGGCAGGAGUACCUGGUGAGAAGGCUGCUUGAGAACUAUUCCACAUCAUCCGAGUAGUUCUGACAGGAGCUGCAGGUCACCCUGCCCUCCACGGUUGGUGGUGCCAGAGUCCUGCAACAGUGCCAUGGCAGAAGCUUCUGGAAGAGCUCUUGGCAGAGAAACCUUGUGUUGUCAUUUGGAGACAGUGGUUAUUUUUAUUGAGAUCUAGAUUAAAAAAAAUCAACCAAAAAUGGCAUUCUUUUUUUUUUUUUUAAUCUUAGUUCAGAAACCUUCUGUGGUUAAAAAAAACAGGUUUGUAUUUGUAGUUCUCCAAAAAGGAACAUUGUUUUCUGUGUGCUUUAGAUUUUUUGGCUAAGUUAAUUACUGAGCUGAUUUUGUAAGUUCUACGCCCUGCAGAUUUUUUAAGUUAUUCAUAUAUGUGCAACUGCCUUUGCAAAAAUAUUUUUGUAUGAAAGUUAUCUUUAUCCUUUAGUUCAAGAUUUAGGCCCUAAAAAUAAAUAUAUAGAGACUGUUGACA